This 429-nucleotide ribosomal RNA is filed under the name uncultured Blastococcus sp. RNAcentral's name for it is "bacterial SSU rRNA". It matches the Rfam family "Bacterial small subunit ribosomal RNA", at positions 962 to 1392 of the family's 1533-position model. Lineage: Bacteria; Bacillati; Actinomycetota; Actinomycetes; Geodermatophilales; Geodermatophilaceae. The record is from RNAcentral.
CGAAGAACCUUACCUAGGUUGAACUACGCACGAAAAGCCACAGAGAUGUGGUGUCCUUCGGGGCGUGCGAUAGGUGGUGCAUGGCUGUCGUCAGCUCGUGUCGUGAGAUGUUGGGUUAAGUCCCGCAACGAGCGCAACCCUUAUCCUAUGUUGCCAGCGCGUAAUGGCGGGGACUCGUGGGAGACUGCCGGGGUCAACUCGGAGGAAGGUGGGGACGACGUCAAGUCAUCGUGCCCCUUAUGUCUAGGGCUGCAAACAUGCUACAAUGGCUGGUACAAAGGGCUGCGAAACCGCGAGGUCGAGCGAAUCCCAAAAAGCCAGUCUCAGUUCGGAUUGAAGUCUGCAACUCGACUUCAUGAAGCUGGAGUCGCUAGUAAUCCCGGAUCAGCAACGCCGGGGUGAAUACGUUCCCGGGCCUUGUACACACCG